UUUGUGUUUUAUUUUUUUGUUUUUGAUUUGUUUUUUUAUAAACUUUAUUCAUCAGAUGAAGAAGUUUAGUCGAACAGGCCGAAUCCCAUGUCGUCAUCGGACUCCUCAGAC
Long non-coding RNA from Stegastes partitus (bicolor damselfish), 111 nucleotides. RefSeq lists it as uncharacterized. Lineage: Eukaryota; Metazoa; Chordata; Actinopteri; Pomacentridae. The record is from RefSeq and is a predicted model, not a curated record. The transcript has 3 exons.